GCUAUCAAGAAGGCUUUUUUGGGAAUAUUGGUGGUCUUCUUCUUUGUGCAUAAGUCUUUGAAGAAUUUGAUGUAUGUAAAAACUUGUUGGAUCAUGUCUAGUAGAGGGAUAUUUACUUUCACUUAUUUAAACAUCUCUAAGAUUUGAUUCAUAUGGGUUGAGUGUCUGUUGGACCUAAGUCUAUUUGAAAAAGAAGUUACAGAAUUGGUGGGUGAUGUCUUGACUUGCUUAAACUCUGAGAUGGAUUCUGUAAGUGGUUUGAGUGUUUCGUCAAUCUCUGUUGACUUCUUAGACUUAUCUGGCUCUUUAAACUCGAUCGGAUCGGUCAUUUGCUCAUGAGGUGGUUUAGACAAUCGGUCAUCUUGAUCUUCAGAUGUACCGACAUGGUUGUCUACUUAUUUUUCAGAUCUUAAGGUGUGAAUUGUAUUUAAUUGAUUGAUUUGGGCUCCUUGUUGUGGUCUUUGAUUGUUCUGAGUUCUAGGAUUAGCCUCGGAUUGACUCGGUAGUUUAUUUUUUGCUCUUUCACUCACAACCGUAGCUAAUUGACCUAACUGCAUCUCUAAAUGAAAAAUAGCCUGAGAAACCCUGAUUUAAUCUAAUUCAAUAUUUAGUUAGAUUUAAUCAAUUUCUCUACAUAGUC
RNAcentral lists this long non-coding RNA (640 nucleotides) under Elaeis guineensis (African oil palm). RNAcentral's name for it is "long non-coding RNA (EGUI_LNC024402)". The record is from RNAcentral. Lineage: Eukaryota; Viridiplantae; Streptophyta; Magnoliopsida; Arecales; Arecaceae.